RNAcentral lists this ribosomal RNA (599 nucleotides) under Leuconostoc pseudomesenteroides. RNAcentral describes it as "bacterial SSU rRNA". It matches the Rfam family "Bacterial small subunit ribosomal RNA", at positions 75 to 660 of the family's 1533-position model. The record is from RNAcentral. Lineage: Bacteria; Bacillati; Bacillota; Bacilli; Lactobacillales; Lactobacillaceae.
GGUGCUUGCACCUUUCAAGUGAGUGGCGAACGGGUGAGUAACACGUGGACAACCUGCCUCAAGGCUGGGGAUAACAUUUGGAAACAGAUGCUAAUACCGAAUGAAACUUAGUGUCGCAUGAUACGAAGUUAAAAGGCGCUUUGGCGUCACCUAGAGAUGGAUCCGCGGUGCAUUAGUUAGUUGGUGGGGUAAAGGCCUACCAAGACAAUGAUGCAUAGCCGAGUUGAGAGACUGAUCGGCCACAUUGGGACUGAGACACGGCCCAAACUCCUACGGGAGGCUGCAGUAGGGAAUCUUCCACAAUGGGCGAAAGCCUGAUGGAGCAACGCCGCGUGUGUGAUGAAGGCUUUCGGGUCGUAAAGCACUGUUGUAUGGGAAGAACAGCUAGAAUAGGGAAUGAUUUUAGUUUGACGGUACCAUACCAGAAAGGGACGGCUAAAUACGUGCCAGCAGCCGCGGUAAUACGUAUGUCCCGAGCGUUAUCCGGAUUUAUUGGGCGUAAAGCGAGCGCAGACGGUUGAUUAAGUCUGAUGUGAAAGCCCGGAGCUCAACUCCGGAAUGGCAUUGGAAACUGGUUAACUUGAGUGCAGUAGAGGUAA